ACAAACGAAGAGACCAGAAGAGAUCAAGAGAAGCAGAUACAUCAACCCAAUUAUUUCACAAUUAGUCCGAAACCCUAGUUGCCAUGUUUCCUUUUUAUUUAUAUUUUUUUAAUUUUUUGUUUAAAUUUAUAUUUUGAGAAAUCUGAUGUACUUCUUCGUCAUUAAAAAAAUAUAUAUUAUUUUCUUUACAUUAUUCUUUAACUAUUUUAAUCUUACUUUAUAUUUUAAAUAAUUUGGUCUAGAAAAGGCAAGCUUCACUACAGAGGCAGUGACCACAAAAAAUUAAUACCAGUGGAAGAGAGGCGCCCAUCAUCAAGUCAAAUUCACCUCAAACUAGUGGCGGAUCCAGGAUUUCAACUCUGGUUGGGCUUGAAUUUCCUAACCAAGAAAAAAAAAGUGGAGAAUCUUGACGGUGUGAGAGAAAUUUAUUUAAUUAAAAGAAAAUGAUACACCUAGCCAGGGGGGACAUAAUGAGCCUUUACCCCUUCAAUGCAUAUGCAAAAUUACAGUAAAAACUAAAUUAUUAAAAUAAACGUGUAAUGCAAUACAAUAUGUACUAUAACAUAAACUAACUAAAUCUAACUCUACGAGUUGAUGAAGCUUCAAACUCUUUAAUCACCUCCUCAUUGGUAACAGAUUCAGCAUACUCUUUCUCAAUGUGGAGGACCAUACAAUCACCAAGAUACUCAUCUCCCAUUUUGCUAAGUUUAUCCUUAAUGAUGUUCAUAGCUUUAUACUUCACAUAGAAAGACACAAAGUAAGAGAGACAAACCUGAGAGCAGAGAACCAGUGAAAAUAAUGGGAAUCCAACCAAGUUCUUACUUCAUAGCUCUUCCGCUUUAGCUGCCAAUAUACCAUUCAGUAUUAGAGAAACAAAAUAUAGCACGAAACGAAUAAAUAACAUCACAUUACAAUUAUGAGUGUGAAAAUUAAGUUUUAAUUCACACAACCUUAAAUCAUAAUUCUCUGCAUCUAUGAUGCUUAGCCUCCAAAAUCAAUCAACAGAAAACUUAGAAAUCGUAACCCUAAGUCCCUAACUCGAUUCAACACUCUAAAUUUCAACAAAUCGUAUUCAUACACAUCAAAUUCCAAACAAUUAUAAUAACAGUAACAACUACAACAAUUCAAUACAGCCUAAAAACCCAGUCAAACACAGCAUGAGCUAAUUCCAGCUUGACUCUUGAGUCUUGAAUAAGGAGAAGCAGAUCUAUUAAAGUGAGAAAGAGGACUCACGGAGGGCUUAACGGAGGUAAACGGUGGAGCCGUGGUCGUGGAGGACUGGAGGGCCUGGAGGCGGCGAGUCGAUGUGAGACACUGACAGUGAGAGGAAGAGAGAAAUCGGAGAAUGAGAGAAGAGAAGAGAUGGUGAGAACUGAGAAGCCUGAGAUCAGUGAGAAGAGAUGGGCGUCGCCGGUCACUGUCGACUAACAGAGAAAGAGAGAGAUGAACUAUCGAACUAUCAAAGGAUUAGCCGAUUAGGAAUUAGGCCAUUAGGGUGGUAUAUCAAAAAAAAAAUCCGUUGGUUGGGCUUGGGUAUAUAUCACACAAAAUAAAAAUUGUAUAUACCUAGUUUUUUUGUUGGCCCAAAAUUCUUGGUUGGGCUUGAGCCCCACUAAGGCCUGUACUGCCUCCGCCCCUACCUCAAACCAAGCUCAUCAGUGCAAUCAAAAGAAGCC
This 1676-nucleotide long non-coding RNA is filed under the name Fragaria vesca (wild strawberry). Its description in RNAcentral is "long non-coding RNA (FVES_LNC003812)". The record is from RNAcentral. Lineage: Eukaryota; Viridiplantae; Streptophyta; Magnoliopsida; Rosales; Rosaceae.